Small nuclear RNA from Vulpes vulpes (red fox), 106 nucleotides. Lineage: Eukaryota; Metazoa; Chordata; Mammalia; Carnivora; Canidae. The record is from Ensembl.
AUGCUCGCUUUGGUAGCACAUAUACUAAAAUUGAAACGAUACAGAGAAGAUUAGCAUGCCCCCGCACAAGAAUGACACGCAAAUCCGUGAAGUAUUCCAUAUUUAA